UACGGAGGGUGCGAGCGUUGUCCGGAAUCACUGGGCGUAAAGGGCGCGUAGGUGGCCCGUUAAGUGGCUGGUGAAAUCCCGGGGCUCAACUCCGGGGCUGCCGGUCAGACUGGCGAGCUAGAGCACGGUAGGGGCAGAUGGAAUUCCCGGUGUAGCGGUGGAAUGCGUAGAGAUCGGGAAGAAUACCAGUGGCGAAGGCGUUCUGCUGGGCCGUUGCUGACACUGAGGCGCGACAGCGUGGGGAG
Molecule: ribosomal RNA, 245 nt
Filed under: uncultured Gemmatimonas sp.
Lineage: Bacteria; Pseudomonadati; Gemmatimonadota; Gemmatimonadia; Gemmatimonadales; Gemmatimonadaceae
Description: partial 16S ribosomal RNA
Rfam family: Bacterial small subunit ribosomal RNA
Source: RNAcentral